UACGGGGGGGGCAAGCGUUGUUCGGAAUUACUGGGCGUAAAGGGCUCGUAGGCGGCCAACUAAGUCGGCCGUGAAAUCCCCAGGCUCAACCUGGGAACUGCGUCCGAUACUGGAUGGCUUGAAUCCGGGAGAGGGAUGCAGAAUUCCAGGUGUAGCGGUGAAAUGCGUAGAUAUCUGGAGGAAUACCGGUGGCGAAGGCGGCAUCCUGGGCCGGCAUUGACGCUGAGGAGCGCAAGCCAGGGGAGCGAACGGG
This 253-nucleotide ribosomal RNA is filed under the name uncultured bacterium. Its description in RNAcentral is "partial 16S ribosomal RNA". It matches the Rfam family "Bacterial small subunit ribosomal RNA", at positions 524 to 776 of the family's 1533-position model. The record is from RNAcentral.